This 253-nucleotide ribosomal RNA is filed under the name uncultured bacterium. Its description in RNAcentral is "partial 16S ribosomal RNA". It matches the Rfam family "Bacterial small subunit ribosomal RNA", at positions 524 to 776 of the family's 1533-position model. The record is from RNAcentral.
UACAGAGGUGGCAAGCGUUGUUCGGAAUUACUGGGCGUAAAGGGCGCGUAGGCGGUCUUGUAAGUCUUGUGUGAAAUCCCUCGGCUUAACUGAGGAACUGCACGAGAUACUGCGAGACUUGAGUUCGGGAGAGGAAAGCGGAAUUCCGGGUGUAGCGGUGAAAUGCGUAGAUAUCCGGAGGAACACCGGUGGCGAAGGCGGCGACCUGGGCCAAUAUUGACGCUGAGGUGCGAAAGCGUGGGGAGCAAACAGG